This 453-nucleotide ribosomal RNA is filed under the name uncultured soil bacterium. RNAcentral's name for it is "bacterial SSU rRNA". It matches the Rfam family "Bacterial small subunit ribosomal RNA", at positions 26 to 519 of the family's 1533-position model. The record is from RNAcentral.
AGAACGAACGCUGGCGGCAGGCUUAACACAUGCAAGUCGAACGGUUGUAGCAAUACAGCAGUGGCAGACGGGUGAGUAACACGUGGGAACCUUCCUAGGGGUACGGAACAACUCAGGGAAACUUGAGCUAAUACCGUAUACGUCCGUGAGGAGAAAGAUUUAUCGCCCCUAGACGGGCCCGCGUAGGAUUAGGUAGUUGGUGAGGUAACGGCUCACCAAGCCUACGAUCCUUAGCUGAUCUGAGAGGAUGAUCAGCCACACUGGGACUGAGACGCGGCCCAGACUCCUACGGGAGGCAGCAGUGGGGAAUCUUGGACAAUGGGCGCAAGCCUGAUCCAGCCAUGCCGCGUGAGUGAAGAAGGCCUUCGGGUUGUAAAGCUCGUUUUACCAGGGACGAGUAAUGACGGUACCUGAGAAUAAGACCCGGCCGAAACUCGUGCCACGCGAGCCGCC